AGAGUUUGAUCAUGGCUCAGCCUGAACGCUGGCGGCGUGGCUAAGACAUGCAAGUCGCACGGAUGUAGCAAUACAUCAGUGGCGAACGGGUGAGUAAUGAAUCGCUAAUGUACCCCGGACUCUGGGAUAGCCAGCCGAAAGGCUGGGUAAUACCAGAUGAUAUAACCGAGCCGCAUGGUUUGGUUCUCAAAGGUCCGCCGGUCUGGGCGCAGGCGAUUUCGUAUCAGCUUGUUGGUGAGGUAACGGCUCACCAAGGCGACGACGCGUAGCCGGACUGAGAGGUUGGCCGGCCAUAUUGGGACUGAGACACUGCCCAGACUCCUACGGGGGGCUGCAGUAACGAAUCUUCCGCAAUGCACGAAAGUGUGACGGAGCGACGCCGCGUGUGGGACGAAGCCCUUCGGGGUGUAAACCACUGUCAGGGGAAAGAAAGUUCUGAUCUACCCCAGAGGAAGGCACGGCUAACUCUGUGCCAGCAGCCGCGGUAAUAC
Molecule: ribosomal RNA, 491 nt
Filed under: uncultured bacterium
Lineage: Bacteria
Description: bacterial SSU rRNA
Rfam family: Bacterial small subunit ribosomal RNA
Source: RNAcentral